RNAcentral lists this ribosomal RNA (1271 nucleotides) under Pinctada imbricata (Akoya pearl oyster). RNAcentral's name for it is "SSU rRNA". The stretch from base 2 to 704 matches the Rfam family "Eukaryotic small subunit ribosomal RNA", at positions 4 to 1116 of the family's 1831-position model. The record is from RNAcentral. Lineage: Eukaryota; Metazoa; Mollusca; Bivalvia; Pterioida; Pteriidae.
UCUGGUUGAUCCUGCCAGUAGUCAUAUGCUUGUCUCAAAGAUUAAGCCAUGCAUGUCUAAGUACAGACUUAUACAUAGUGAAACCGCGAAUGGCUCAUUAAAUCAGUUAUGGUUCCUUAGAUCCUACAAUCCUACUUGGAUAACUGUGGCAAUUCUAGAGCUAAUACAUGGCAAAACAGCUCCGACCUCACGGGAAGAGCGCUUUUAUUAGAACAAAACUAAUGGCGGUCGCAAGGCCGUCUCACCUUGGUGAUUCUGAAUAACUUUGUGCUGAUCGCAUGAGCUUGCCUCGGCGACGUAUCUUUCAAAUGUCUGCCCUAUCAACUUUCGAUGGUACGUGCUAUGCCUACCAUGGUUGUAACGGGUAACGGGGAAUCAGGGUUCGAUGCCGGAGAGGGAGCAUGAGAAACGGCUACCACAUCCAAGGAAGGCAGCAGGCGCGCAAAUUACCCACUCCUGGCACGGGGAGGUAGUGACGAAAAAUAACAAUACGGGACUCUUACGAGGCCCCGUAAUUGGAAUGAGUACACUUUAAACCUUUUAACGAGUAUCAAUUGGAAGGCAAGUCUGGUGCCAGCAACCGCGGUAGUUCCAGCUCCAAUAGCGUAUAUUAAAGUUGUUGCGUUUAAAAAGCUCGUAGUUGGAUCUCGGGUCCAGGCUUGACGGCCCCUCCUUGCACGUCACUGCUUGAUCCUGGGCUUACCUGACCGGUUUUUGCCCUUGGUGGUCUUUAUUGGAAUGCCCCGGGUGGGACGGAACGUUGAGAUUCAUAAGAAGAAAACACUAAAAAGAGAAGGAAGGAUUUGCGACGGGAUAGGACGGGAUCAAGUUAUGGAGUGGGCGAGAGAUAUGAGGGGGGAGGACCGAAGCUCGGCGGUGGGUUGAGCACUUGCGCAGUGAGAGAGGGGGCAAAGGACAGAUAGAGAAAGAAGUGUUUAUGAAGAAAGAGUUUGUGAAAAAAAAGAGAGAUAAACGGAGAUCGAAAAAACUGAGGAGGAAGUGACAGGGUAGGCUGGGAAGGGGAAAAGGGAGAGGGUGGCUGGCGAUGUGAUUUGCAUGCUAGACGAAAGGCUACACGGGAAGUUGGAAGUGGGUGGAGGAUAGAGUAGGAGAAGAGAGGGAAAAAGGGGAGGGGAGAAAAAGACGAAGAGAAAGGGAGCGAGAGUGGGAAAGGGAGAAGGGGUAGAAAGGGGGGUGGGCGAGAGAGGUAGUAAAGGAAGAUAGGAAAAGAUACAGAGGUUAAGCGAAAUGAGAAGGUUGUUUUGGCGAUG